GAGUUUGAUCCUGGCUCAGAUUGAACGCUGGCGGCAUGCCUUACACAUGCAAGUCGAACGGUAACAGGUCUUCGGAUGCUGACGAGUGGCGAACGGGUGAGUAAUACAUCGGAACGUGCCCGAUCGUGGGGGAUAACGGAGCGAAAGCUUUGCUAAUACCGCAUACGAUCUACGGAUGAAAGCAGGGGACCGCAAGGCCUUGCGCGGACGGAGCGGCCGAUGGCAGAUUAGGUAGUUGGUGGGAUAAAAGCUUACCAAGCCGACGAUCUGUAGCUGGUCUGAGAGGACGACCAGCCACACUGGGACUGAGACACGGCCCAGACUCCUACGGGAGGCAGCAGUGGGGAAUUUUGGACAAUGGGCGAAAGCCUGAUCCAGCCAUGCCGCGUGCAGGAUGAAGGCCUUCGGGUUGUAAACUGCUUUUGUACGGAACGAAAAGACUCUGGUUAAUACCUGGGUCCAUGACGGUACCGUAAGAAUAAGC
RNAcentral lists this ribosomal RNA (484 nucleotides) under Acidovorax temperans. Its description in RNAcentral is "bacterial SSU rRNA". It matches the Rfam family "Bacterial small subunit ribosomal RNA", at positions 9 to 491 of the family's 1533-position model. The record is from RNAcentral. Lineage: Bacteria; Pseudomonadati; Pseudomonadota; Betaproteobacteria; Burkholderiales; Comamonadaceae.